GAACAACGCUGGCGGCGUGCCUAACGCAUGCAAGUCGGGCGGGUCACCCUUUCGGGGGUGGUCAGCGGCGGACGGGUGAGGAGCACGUGAUCGACCUGCCCGUGAGUGGGGGCCAACCCCGGGAAACCGGGGCUGUUACCGCAUGCGUCCGGCGGCCGGUGGGGCUGUCGGGGAAAGCCCUUCGGGGCGCUCAUGGAGGGGAUUGCGCCCGAUUAGCUAGUCGGCGGGGUGACGGCCCACCGAGGCGACGAUCGGUCGCUGGUCUGAGAGGACGACCAGCCACAGGGGGACUGAGACACGGCCCCCACACCUACGGGUGGCAGCAGCGAGGGAUUUUCGGCAAUGGGCGCAAGCCUGACCGAGCAACGCCGCGUGCGGGAUGACGCCCCUCGGGGUGUAAACCGCUUUUCCCCGGGGCGAAGAUGACGGUACCGGGGGAAUCAGCCUCGGCUAACUACGUGCCAGCAGCCGCAGUAACAC
Molecule: ribosomal RNA, 480 nt
Filed under: uncultured bacterium
Lineage: Bacteria
Description: bacterial SSU rRNA
Rfam family: Bacterial small subunit ribosomal RNA
Source: RNAcentral